CACUCACAAGAAAUCUGCCAUUUAUUGAGUACUUGCUGUUUGCCAGAUGCUGUGGGGACCUGUUAGCAUCUUCUGUGUCAUCUCAUCCUCAUGGCAACCUUGUAAGGAAGAAGCCAACUUCAGGACAUUAAGCUACCAUAAGAAAAGAAACAGGAGGAUUCUCUUCUUUUGGAUCGUAUGGUACAGAUGCCGUGUGAAUGCCUAAUGAGUGGGAUCUGAACACAACUCUGCUAAUAAGGAAGUCUCCAAAAUGUAGUUCCUAGCUGUCCAGUUCCUGUGAUUCUUGAACAGUUGUUGAAGAGGAUGAGUAUAUUGUUGAAUGCCAACACAUAGUUCUGUUUUCCUUCACAGAGACAAUAUACAUGGGGAAUCAUCCCCAAAUAGAAAGAUGAGUUGCAUGCUGAACCAAAAGAUUACAGCAGUGUACAUAACAAUGUAACACUCAAAAGUUCUUUAUAUAAUAUGUGUUUCUAAACAGAUGAAAGCAUCCAAUAAAAAUUGAUUUUUAAACCACCAGUAAAUCUCUCUAAGUCAUUUUCAAACAUGAUCUUACGGUCUAUGUACCAUGA
This 569-nucleotide long non-coding RNA is filed under the name Homo sapiens (human). Its description in RNAcentral is "HSALNT0308617". Lineage: Eukaryota; Metazoa; Chordata; Mammalia; Primates; Hominidae. The record is from RNAcentral.